CGGUCCUUAAUGAUUGUUCACUCGAACGCCUUGGUAUUCUCUACUUGCUUAMCUGGUGAUAGUAUUUAGGUACGGKUGUAUYGACAUGGUGAAAAGCCUUAUAUUCACCCAUGCCGAGUUUACAGUUUUCCAGAACAUUUAUCACUUUAACACAUAUUAUUACUAACUAUGUACAAAUGUUAUUUGUCAGUAAACUCUCUAGAUUUGCUCAUCGUUUAGUCCUUUGGGUAAUAAACUUAGAGGCCGUUACUUUAAAUAAAUACCAUAAGCUUUAGGCGAGGGUAUAUCCCUUUAUCGUUACUCAUGUCAGCAUUCUCACUUGGGUUGUUUAAUAUUAAGUCUUAAAAAGAAAAAAUCUGAUAUUUCCCCAAUGUUCCGCUACCCCAUAAAUACAAUAUAUAACCUGGAUAUAUAAAUAAAUAUGGACAAGGUCUCGGUAUAUUGUUUAGAUCCGUUAAAUUUUCGGUGCUUUUAUCCAAAUAAACUCAGACAAAUUUAGUCUAACUUUAUUUUUUUUUAACCAGUGCUCUGUUACGAGGUCUUAAAAAAAUGGCCGCUUCUAAGCCUAUUUCCUGGGCAUUUAGGAGAAAAACUGCCUUAAUUUCACUUAACAAAAAUUUAGGAACCUUAUUAACUCUUGUUCUGGGCUGUUUCCCUUUAGACAUACAACCUUAUCGUACUAUGUCCGAUUAUUCAAUAUUCAUCAUAACCCUUCCGAGAACAAAUACUCACUGAUAGAAUCUUCACGACCCCCCAAUGUCUACAAAAAGCAUAUUAUUUAAAUAAUAUAUMCAAGGUUGUAUGAGAUCACAAUUCUGUACCUGCUAUGAUGUUAUUUAA
RNAcentral lists this ribosomal RNA (840 nucleotides) under Lecidoma demissum. RNAcentral describes it as "partial large subunit ribosomal RNA". The record is from RNAcentral. Lineage: Eukaryota; Fungi; Ascomycota; Lecanoromycetes.